AGAGUUUGAUCCUGGCUCAGAACGAACGCUGGCGGCGUGCCUAACACAUGCAAGUCGAACGCGAAAGGGGGCAACCCCCGGUAGCGUGGCAGACGGGUGAGUAACACGUGGGUAACCUACCCGGAGGUGGGGGAUAACCCUUCGAAAGGAGGGCUAAUACCGCAUGACACCGUGAGGACCUCGGUCCUUACGAUCAAAGCUGGCCUCUGUUUACAAGCUAGCGCCACCGGAUGGGCCCGCGCCCCAUUAGCUAGUUGGUGAGGUAACGGCUCACCAAGGCGACGAUGGGUAGCCGGCCUGAGAGGGCGAUCGGCCACACUGGAACUGCGACACGGUCCAGACUCCUACGGGAGGCAGCAGUGAGGAAUAUUGCGCAAUGGGCGAAAGCCUGACGCAGCGACGCCGCGUGGAGGAUGAAGGUCUUCGGAUUGUAAACUCCUGUCGAGUGGGACGAAUGCCGUGGGGGUGAACAAUCCUCACGGUUGACGGUACCGCUGGAGGAAGCCCCGGCUAACCCCGUGCCAGCAGCCGCGGUAAUACGGAGGGGGCUAGCGUUGUUCGGAAUCAUUGGGCGUAAAGGGCGCGUAGGCGGCCGAUCAAGUCGGAGGUGAAAUCCCUCGGCUCAACUGAGGAAUUGCCUUCGAUACUGUUCGACUUGAGUCCUGGAGAGGGUAGCGGAAUUC
RNAcentral lists this ribosomal RNA (683 nucleotides) under uncultured bacterium. Its description in RNAcentral is "bacterial SSU rRNA". It matches the Rfam family "Bacterial small subunit ribosomal RNA", at positions 8 to 669 of the family's 1533-position model. The record is from RNAcentral.